CCUCUUUUAUCAGGGAAGAAACAAAUGACGGUACCUGAUGAAUCAGCAUCGGCUAACUCCGUGCCAGCAGCCGCGGUAAUACGGAGGAUGCAAGCGUUAUCCGGAAUUAUUGGGCGUAAAGCGUCCGCAGGUGGUUUUGAAAGUUUGCUGUCAAAGCGCGGAGCUUAACUUCGUACCGGCAGUGAAAACUACGAGACUAGAGUUUGGUAGGGGUCACGGGAAUUCCCAGUGUAGCGGUGAAAUGCGUAGAGAUUGGGAAGAACACCAGCGGCGAAAGCGCGUGACUGGGCCUGAACUGACACUCAUGGACGAAAGCUAGGGGAGCGAAAGGGAUUAGAUACCCCUGUAGUCCUAGCCGUAAACGAUGACAACUAGGUGUUGCCCGUAUCGACCCGGGCAGUGCCGUAGCCAACGCGUUAAGUUGUCCGCCUGGGGAGUACGCACGCAAGUGUGAAACUCAAAGGAAUUGACGGGGGCCCGCACAAGCGGUGGAGUAUGUGGUUUAAUUCGAUGCAACGCGAAGAACCUUACCAAGGCUUGACAUGUCGCGAACCCUCUUGAAAGGGAGGGGUGCCUUCGGGAGCGCGAACACAGGUGGUGCAUGGCUGUCGUCAGCUCGUGUCGUGAGAUGUUGGGUUAAGUCCCGCAACGAGCGCAACCCUCGUUUCUAGUUGCCAUCAUUAAGUUGGGCACUUUAGAGAGACUGCCGGUGACAAACCGGAGGAAGGUGGGGAUGACGUCAAGUCAGCAUGCCCCUUACGCCUUGGGCUACACACGUACUACAAUGCUACGGACAAAGAGCCGCAAGUUCGCGAGGACAAGCAAAUCUCAUAAACCGUGGCUCAGUUCAGAUUGCAGGCUGCAACUCGCCUGCAUGAAGGCGGAAUCGCUAGUAAUCGCAGGUCAGCAUACUGCGGUGAAUACGUUCCCGGGCCUUGUACACACCGCCCGUCACACCAUGGAAGUUGGCCACGCCCGAAGUCAUUACUCCAACCCUUCGGGGAGGAGGAUGCCGAAGGCAGGGCUGAUGACUGGGGUGAAGUCGUAACAAGGUAGCCGUACCGGAAGGUGUGGCUGGAUCACCUCCUUU
This 1090-nucleotide ribosomal RNA is filed under the name Phormidesmis priestleyi ULC163. RNAcentral's name for it is "bacterial SSU rRNA". It matches the Rfam family "Bacterial small subunit ribosomal RNA", at positions 430 to 1533 of the family's 1533-position model. Lineage: Bacteria; Bacillati; Cyanobacteriota; Cyanophyceae; Leptolyngbyales; Leptolyngbyaceae. The record is from RNAcentral.